AACUGAACAGUCUUUAUAAUGUAUAUUCACAGAGUGUACUAAUUUUAAAAAGUAAUUUGUAGGCGCCUAUAAAUGUAUUUGUGUCGCAAGGUGAACUCACAAGGUCAGCAGCUGAACUCAUUGGUGUUGACACCCCGGAUGAUAGCGUAUUGUCCCCAGUGACAUGUCCACAAGGCCGAGCGGUUAUACUCUCCACCUGCCCUGUGGGGGAUGACAGGUACCUUUUAGGCCUUAGUUAAGCUGAUCUCCCACAGGCGAUGUUCACCACGACUGGAAGACAAAUGAUCCUCAUGGGAAAUCCGACGGAGGUGUGUUUUGCAGCACCUCAGAUGUACAGCACACCUGAAGAAGGCGCUGGCAGGGAGUCUGCGUCCUUCUGCUUAACACGCGGCAGCUGUGCUGAGGGAAGGUGAGGAAAGACUGUGCUAAUUUGAGGGCUGUUAGUUAGCUUGAGCGCAGACUGCUAGCUCCAUGCAUGUUCACAGACAGUGCUGACAAGUGCAUGAGUGAAUCUGAUGUCUUACUUAUGAUGAGCAUGAUCUUUCUAUACCACAAUACCAGUCAGAAAUUGGGACACACAUGGCUGAAUUUCUUUUUCAUAAAGUCUGUAAGUAGUGUAGCUGGAUAUAUGAAAUAUAUUUCAAAAUAUGUAAUUAACUGUACAAAUGUCUUUAAAAAAGUGUAAAAAGUAAAGUCUAAAAUGAUAAUAUUAAUAAAAAAUUAUACUAAAUAUUACU
Long non-coding RNA from Carassius gibelio (silver crucian carp), 737 nucleotides. RefSeq lists it as uncharacterized. The transcript has 3 exons. NCBI's taxonomy places the organism in Eukaryota, Metazoa, Chordata, Actinopteri, Cypriniformes, Cyprinidae. The record is from RefSeq and is a predicted model, not a curated record.